GCGGAAGUAGUUCAGUGGUAGAAUACAACCUUGCCAAGGUUGGGGUCGCGGGUUCGAAUCCCGUCUUCCGCUC
RNAcentral lists this transfer RNA (73 nucleotides) under Ectobacillus sp. OTK. RNAcentral describes it as "tRNA-Gly". It matches the Rfam family "tRNA". Rfam says of the family: Transfer RNA (tRNA) molecules are approximately 80 nucleotides in length. Their secondary structure includes four short double-helical elements and three loops (D, anti-codon, and T loops). Further hydrogen bonds mediate the characteristic L-shaped molecular structure. tRNAs have two regions of fundamental functional importance: the anti-codon, which is responsible for specific mRNA codon recognition, and the 3' end, to which the tRNAs corresponding amino acid is attached (by aminoacyl-tRNA synthetases). tRNAs cope with the degeneracy of the genetic code in two manners: having more than one tRNA (with a specific anti-codon) for a particular amino acid; and 'wobble' base-pairing, i.e. permitting non-standard base-pairing at the 3rd anti-codon position. Lineage: Bacteria; Bacillati; Bacillota; Bacilli; Caryophanales; Bacillaceae. The record is from RNAcentral. RNAcentral also lists the same sequence under 1 other name.